CUUAACACAUGCAAGUCGAGGGGCAGCAUGGUCUUAGCUUGCUAAGGCCGAUGGCGACCGGCGCACGGGUGAGUAACACGUAUCCAACCUGCCGUCUACUCUUGGACAGCCUUCUGAAAGGAAGAUUAAUACAAGAUGGCAUCAUGAGUCCGCAUGUUCACAUGAUUAAAGGUAUUCCGGUAGACGAUGGGGAUGCGUUCCAUUAGAUAGUAGGCGGGGUAACGGCCCACCUAGUCUUCGAUGGAUAGGGGUUCUGAGAGGAAGGUCCCCCACAUUGGAACUGAGACACGGUCCAAACUCCUACGGGAGGCAGCAGUGAGGAAUAUUGGUCAAUGGGCGAGAGCCUGAACCAGCCAAGUAGCGUGAAGGAUGACUGCCCUAUGGGUUGUAAACUUCUUUUAUAAAGGAAUAAAGUCGGGUAUGGAUACCCGUUUGCAUGUACUUUAUGAAUAAGGAUCGGCUAACUCCGUGCCAGCAGCCGCGGUAAUACGGAGGAUCCGAGCGUUAUCCGGAUUUAUUGGGUUUAAAGGGAGCGUAGAUGGAUGUUUAAGUCAGUUGUGAAAGUUUGCGGCUCAACCGUAAAAUUGCAGUUGAUACUGGAUAUCUUGAGUGCAGUUGAGGCAGGCGGAAUUCGUGGUGUAGCGGUGAAAUGCUUAGAUAUCACGAAGAACUCCGAUUGCGAAGGCAGCCUGCUAAGCUGCAACUGACAUUGAGGCUCGAAAGUGUGGGUAUCAAACAGGAUUAGAUACCCUGGUAGUCCACACGGUAAACGAUGAAUACUCGCUGUUUGCGAUAUACUGCAAGCGGCCAAGCGAAAGCGUUAAGUAUUCCACCUGGGGGAGUACGCCGGCAACGGUGAAACUCAAAGGAAUUGACGGGGGCCCGCACAAGCGGAGGAACAUGUGGUUUAAUUCGAUGAUACGCGAGGAACCUUACCCGGGCUUAAAUUGCAGAUGAAUUACGGUGAAAGCCGUAAGCCGCAAGGCAUCUGUGAAGGUGCUGCAUGGUUGUCGUCAGCUCGUGCCGUGAGGUGUCGGCUUAAGUGCCAUAACGAGCGCAACCCUUGUUGUCAGUUACUAAAAGGUUCCGCUGAGGACUCUGACAAGACUGCCAUCGUAAGAUGUGAGGAAGGUGGGGAUGACGUCAAAUCAGCACGGCCCUUACGUCCGGGGCUACACACGUGUUACAAUGGGGGGUACAGAGGGCCGCUACCACGCGAGUGGAUGCCAAUCCCCAAAACCUCUCUCAGUUCGGACUGGAGUCUGCAACCCGACUCCACGAAGCUGGAUUCGCUAGUAAUCGCGCAUCAGCCACGGCGCGGUGAAUACGUUCCCGGGCCUCGUACACACCGCCCGUCAAGCCAUGAGAGCCGGGGGUACCUGAAGUGCGUAAACGGGAGGAGCGCCCUAGGGUAAAACUGGUGACUGGGGCUA
Molecule: ribosomal RNA, 1433 nt
Filed under: uncultured bacterium
Lineage: Bacteria
Description: bacterial SSU rRNA
Rfam family: Bacterial small subunit ribosomal RNA
Source: RNAcentral